Mastomys coucha (southern multimammate mouse) is the source of this 514-nucleotide long non-coding RNA. RefSeq lists it as uncharacterized. The transcript is spliced from 3 exons. The record is from RefSeq and is a predicted model, not a curated record. Lineage: Eukaryota; Metazoa; Chordata; Mammalia; Rodentia; Muridae.
CUGGUUGGUUCACCAGGAUGGACAUUACUGCAGUUACUUUGGCCCAUUUUGGGUUCCAUUCCUUGUGUGGGUGAACUUGUAUGCUGUAUCUCCCCAGGAAAGCUCUCACACAAGGAGGAGGAAAAAUUUUUUUUUCAGUGUAUCUGUGCAGCCUUCAAUCACCAAAUCAUUCUUCAAAUGCAUGAAGUCAUCCUGUUCAAUGGCUGUGCCUCUACCCAGCAAGUACUCCUCCCACUUCCUGCAGCCCCUCAACUAGAAUGCCUGUCCUCUGACUCCAGCCUGCUCAGCUUUGAUUGAUCCUGAGGAAACAGCUUGAGCUGAGUUGGAGCAUUUGUUGACAGAAGUUAGACUCAAGCUUCCAGAUGAUUCUAGAAGGCAGGACACCUGGGGAAGCGUGUUCAAGCUGAGUAGACAGAGGGCUAAAAGGACAAGAGCUGCACGCCUGAUCAUGCCACCACUGACUCCCAGUUCUUGGGGAACUCACAGUCUUCUUUUACAAAAUAAAAGUUUACAC